UUAUCAUAGCUCCGUUAUGGUGGUGAUGUGGUCUGCCUUAUUCUGUUGUUCAUUUCAUGAACUGGGUUCCAAAUUCAAUAAUGUAUCCUCCUUUCAGCUCUGUGCUCUUUUGUCCAAUCUCUUUUUAUAUCCAGGGAGAUCCCCUCAAGAUAAAUGUAACUUUUGAAAUGUUUGGCUUGCCAUUAUAUACUGAAAUGUUACUUCAGACACUAUUUUAGUUGGUACCAAAGGAUGUCUUUUGCAGAGCAAAAGUUUUUAAUUUUGCUGAAGUCCAAGUUAACAGUAUCUUUUCUUUAUGGAAUAUCCUCUAGUUUUCAUGUCUCGGAACUCUUUACCUAGCUCUAGGUCCCAAAGAUUUUCUCCUGUGUUUUUUUUCUAACAGUUUUAUAGUUUCUUAUUUUGAAUCCAUGAUCCAUUUUCAGUUAAUUUUUGUACAAGAUGUGCAACUUAGGUCCAUGUUUUGUUUUUGUUUUUGUUUUCCUAUCAGUAUCCAAUUGUUUCAAUACCAUUUGUUGAAAAAAAACAAAACAACAACAAAGAAAAAAACAGCUAUUCUUUCUGAAUUGAAUUACGUCUGCACAUUUGUUAAAAGUCAGUUGGGUCUAUUUGAGUGGGUCUAUUUCUAGGUUCCCUGUUCUGUUUCAUUAAUCUAUGUGUCUCUCCUUCAGCCAAUACCACACUGUCUUGUUCAUUGUAGUGUCUUAAAAUUGGGCAGUGUUUUCUCCCAUACCAUUUUUCAAAAUUGUUGUAGCUAAUGUAGGUUCUCUACCUUUCCAUAUACAUUUUAAAGUCAUCUUGUCUAUAUCUACAAAAACCUUGCCAGCAUUUCUAAAAGAAUUGAGUUAAACUUGUUGAUCAGUUUGGGGGAAGAACUGCCAUCUUUAUGAUGUGAGUCUUCCAGUACAUGAACAUAGUAUAUGUCCUUAUCUAGACCAAAGUCAAUGUUUUGUAGUUUUUGGUAUACAAGCCCUGUAUAUGUUUUCUUAGACUUAAUACCUAAGCUUUUCUCUUUUUUUUGAGUAAUUGUGAAUGGUAUUUUUUUUAUUUCAGUUUUCACAUGUUCAUUACUAGUAUAUAUAGUGUUGAUUUUUGUAUAUUGGUCUUGUUUUGUGCCCUCUUACUGGACUUACUACUUCUAGGAGCUGUUUUGGAGAUUGCUUAGGGUUUUCUACCAUAUAGACAGUUGUGCCAUUUGCAAAUAAGGACAAUUUUAUUUUUUCCUAUAAAAUCUAUACACCUUUUAUUUCCUUUUCUUGACUUAGUCUGCUGACUAAAAGUUCCAGUACUAUGUUUAUGUUACAAAGGGUGUUUUAAGCUUUAAAAAAUUGUUUCAGCGAAGCUUUAUAAAAGCCUUAGGCGUUAUCUAGGUAGCAUUAAACAAUAAAUACAGAUGCACUGAAAAAUGAAGUUUUCUUUGUUCAAAUACCAUAAAUUUAUUCUUGCUUAUUCUAAAUACCUUUGAAGUAUUUUCCUUGUUAUUCUUUUUACAAGACUAGUCUAAUACUGCUUUCUUUCAUAUAGGAAAAAAUACUGAUUUCUUUUCACCAGCUCAAAUUUGUUUUUCUUUCUUGUACAAGUCAUUUAUUAUUUUUUUAUUCAGGGUUCUGAGCAAGGUUCAACCAGUCAAGAACAGGCCUUAUCUGCUCAGCAAGCUGCUGUUAUUAACCUUACUGGAGUAGGAAGUUUUAUGCAGUCACAGGCAGCUGCAGUUGCGAUUCUUGCAGCAUCAAAUGGCUAUGGCAGCAGCAGCAGCACAAACAGCUCAGCUACAUCAUCAUCGGCAUACAGGCAGCCAGUCAAAAAGUAAAAUGAAGAGAGGCACGCCAACCACUCCAAAAUUUUGAGUCUUGCAUUACUUUUUGUUCCUUUUUUAAAAACACAAGAGCACUGAUUCAAAAGAAUUGAGUUUCUACUUUUUGUUUUUUUUAAUGUGUCAGUAUUUUACAUUGCUAGAUGUACAAACUUUAUACAGAAGCACAACCUUAUCAUUUUUAAAUAAAAACAGGGAAAUGGUUUAAC
Molecule: small RNA, 2019 nt
Filed under: Pan troglodytes (chimpanzee)
Lineage: Eukaryota; Metazoa; Chordata; Mammalia; Primates; Hominidae
Description: retained intron
Source: RNAcentral